CGCUGGCGGCGUGCUUAACACAUGCAAGUCGAACGGUAAGGCCCUUCGGGGUACACGAGUGGCGAACGGGUGAGUAACACGUGGGUGAUCUGCCCUGCACUUCGGGAUAAGCUUGGGAAACUGGGUCUAAUACCGGAUAGGACCACGGUCUGCAUGGAUUGUGGUGGAAAGCUUUUGCGGUGUGGGAUGGGCCCGCGGCCUAUCAGCUUGUUGGUGGGGUGAUGGCCUACCAAGGCGACGACGGGUAGCCGGCCUGAGAGGGUGUCCGGCCACACUGGGACUGAGAUACGGCCCAGACUCCUACGGGAGGCAGCAGUGGGGAAUAUUGCACAAUGGGCGCAAGCCUGAUGCAGCGACGCCGCGUGGGGGAUGACGGCCUUCGGGUUGUAAACCUCUUUCAGCAGGGACGAAGGGUGACUGACGGUACCUGUAGAAGAAGCACCGGCCAACUACGUG
Molecule: ribosomal RNA, 456 nt
Filed under: uncultured bacterium
Lineage: Bacteria
Description: bacterial SSU rRNA
Rfam family: Bacterial small subunit ribosomal RNA
Source: RNAcentral